RNAcentral lists this ribosomal RNA (478 nucleotides) under Oocyclus sp. SLE0861. RNAcentral describes it as "partial 16S ribosomal RNA". It matches the Rfam family "Bacterial large subunit ribosomal RNA", at positions 1837 to 2578 of the family's 2925-position model. The record is from RNAcentral. Lineage: Eukaryota; Metazoa; Arthropoda; Insecta; Coleoptera; Hydrophilidae.
UUUAAAAUUUAAAGUCUAACCUGCUCAAUGAAAAUUUAAAUAGCCGCAGUAUUUUGACUGUGCAAAGGUAGCAUAAUCAUUAGUUUCUUGAUUAGGAACUUGUAUGAAUGGUUGGAUGAGAAAUGAUCUGUCUCUAUAUAAUUUAAUUAGAACUUUAUUUUUAAGUUAAAAAGCUUAAAUUUUUGUUAAAGACGAGAAGACCCUAUAGAGUUUAACUUGUUUAAGUAUUUGAUUUAUUAGGAAUUUAUGUUUUAUUUGUUUAAGCGGGUUUUGUUGGGGUGACAAGAAAAAUAAAUAAACUUUUCUUUAUUAUUAACAGUGAUUUAUGAGUUGUUGAUCCAAUAUUUUUGAUUAUAAGAGUAAAUUACCUUAGGGAUAACAGCGUAAUUUUUUUUGAGAGUUCUUAUCGAAAAAAAAGUUUGCGACCUCGAUGUUGGAUUAAAAUUAAGAUCGGCGCAGCCGUUGGUCUAUUAAGUCU